UCUUCAUCCUUUUUUUAUUUAGUUUAUUGAAUUAAUUAUGAUCAUUAUUAUAUUUUUGUAUUGUCACUGGGAAAUGUAAAUUGAUAAGUUAAUGUAUUGCAAUUUAAAGGAAAAACAACACAAUUUGAAGCAAAAAUAGAUAAACAUACACAUGACAAAGUGUAAAUGUUGUGAACAGUGAAUUAUUGUGGUUGUGUUUUAUGAUUAUUGUCAUCUUUAUUGUUAUUUAUAGAUAUUUCUGGUUAUUACUGAACAGAUUUCUUUCCCUCAUAUUUUAAUUUUGAAGGUUAAACUCUUGCCCCAAGAGCAAAAGGGGUAAUCAUACUACCUGAUGUAUGGACUUUUACACCUGGUUUUUACCCUGCAUGAGCUGGCCAACUUGAGGGGAACUGAAGUGGGCAAACCUCGCCCUGUCAUUGAACAAGAAAGCUGGAUUUGUUGAGAGAGUAUCAUUAAAGCUGAAAUCCAGCAUGAAACCAGGGAGGUGAAGGCCAUCGCACAGGCCAUGUGCCGACUAUUCACUCCCCACCAGCUUGUGACUUGCUCCAUGAAGGGAGCAACAACUACAACGGGGUCACCAAGACCAAGCCUCCCCGCUGCUGAGAGAAAUGCAAUCAUUGGUACUUUUUCUUCAUCAUAAAAAUUUGAAGAACCAGUUAUCCGUAUAGAAAUUCAAUACACAACCUACAAAUAUUUUUCAGAUCACUUACUGUUUACAGUCGCAUAAAUGAUCAUUAUAUUACA
Dreissena polymorpha is the source of this 744-nucleotide long non-coding RNA. RefSeq lists it as uncharacterized. NCBI's taxonomy places the organism in Eukaryota, Metazoa, Mollusca, Bivalvia, Myida, Dreissenidae. The transcript is spliced from 2 exons. The record is from RefSeq and is a predicted model, not a curated record.